Molecule: ribosomal RNA, 499 nt
Filed under: uncultured bacterium
Lineage: Bacteria
Description: bacterial SSU rRNA
Rfam family: Bacterial small subunit ribosomal RNA
Source: RNAcentral
GCGGACGGGUGAGUAAUGCUUAGGAAUCUGCCUAUUAGUGGGGGACAACAUUCCGAAAGGAAUGCUAAUACCGCAUACGUCCUACGGGAGAAAGCAGGGGAUCUUCGGACCUUGCGCUAAUAGAUGAGCCUAAGUCGGAUUAGCUAGUUGGUGGGGUAAAGGCCUACCAAGGCGACGAUCUGUAGCGGGUCUGAGAGGAUGAUCCGCCACACUGGGACUGAGACACGGCCCAGACUCCUACGGGAGGCAGCAGUGGGGAAUAUUGGACAAUGGGGGGAACCCUGAUCCAGCCAUGCCGCGUGUGUGAAGAAGGCCUUAUGGUUGUAAAGCACUUUAAGCGAGGAGGAGGCUACUGAGACUAAUACUCUUGGAUAGUGGACGUUACUCGCAGAAUAAGCACCGGCUAACUCUGUGCCAGCAGCCGCGGUAAUACAGAGGGUGCGAGCGUUAAUCGGAUUUACUGGGCGUAAAGCGUGCGUAGGCGGCUUUUUAAGUCGGA